GGCCCCGUAGUUUAACUGGCAAAACACCCGCCUUCUACGCGGCUCGUCUCCGGACUGGAGAGCUAUCCCGGUUCGAAUCCGGGCGGGGCUACCA
This 94-nucleotide transfer RNA is filed under the name Rhodospirillales bacterium. Its description in RNAcentral is "tRNA-Arg". It matches the Rfam family "tRNA". Rfam says of the family: Transfer RNA (tRNA) molecules are approximately 80 nucleotides in length. Their secondary structure includes four short double-helical elements and three loops (D, anti-codon, and T loops). Lineage: Bacteria; Pseudomonadati; Pseudomonadota; Alphaproteobacteria; Rhodospirillales. The record is from RNAcentral.